ACGUUCAGGUAAUCGCUGCCGCCUUAAAGGCUGCAGAGGAAAGUCCAUGCUCACACGGUGCUGAGAUGCCCGUAGUGUUCGUGCCUGGCGAAACCAUAAGCCAGGGCAGCUCGGCAUUUGCUGGGCUGACGGCAGGGAAAAUACCUAAGUCCCUUAAAGGGAUAUGGUAUGAUUACCUUGAAAGUGCCACAGUGACGCAGCUUUGCGAGAAAUCGCAAAGGUGGAACGAGGUAAACCCCGCGAGUGAGCAACCCAAAUUAUGGUAGGGGCGCCUUCUCGAAGGAAAUGAACGGAGAGAAGGGCAAGCAAGAUGUUCUUGCUUGCAGAUAGAUGAUUACCGCCUGAGUACGAGACUAUCCCAGUCGCUUGCAGUACGAAGGAACAGAACAUGGCUUACAGAA
Bacillus smithii is the source of this 401-nucleotide non-coding RNA. The record is from Rfam. Lineage: Bacteria; Bacillati; Bacillota; Bacilli; Caryophanales; Bacillaceae.